GGGUAUAGCUCAGUGGUGGAGUGUGUGCUUAGCAUGCACGAGGUCCUGGGUUCAAUUCCCAGUACCUCCA
Molecule: transfer RNA, 70 nt
Filed under: Camelus bactrianus (Bactrian camel)
Lineage: Eukaryota; Metazoa; Chordata; Mammalia; Artiodactyla; Camelidae
Also listed under: 3 other names
Rfam family: tRNA
About the family: Transfer RNA (tRNA) molecules are approximately 80 nucleotides in length. Their secondary structure includes four short double-helical elements and three loops (D, anti-codon, and T loops).
Source: Rfam by way of RNAcentral